Molecule: non-coding RNA, 483 nt
Filed under: Selaginella moellendorffii
Lineage: Eukaryota; Viridiplantae; Streptophyta; Lycopodiopsida; Selaginellales; Selaginellaceae
Description: Eukaryotic large subunit ribosomal RNA
Rfam family: Eukaryotic large subunit ribosomal RNA
Source: Rfam by way of RNAcentral
UGGAUUGUUCACCCACCAAUAGGGAACGUGAGCUGGGUUUAGACCGUCGUGAGACAGGUUAGUUUUACCCUACUGAUGAGCUGUGCCGCAAUAGUAAUUCAACUUAGUACGAGAGGAACCGUUGAUUCGCACAAUUGGUAAUUGCGCUUGGUUGAAAAGCCAGUGGCGCGAAGCUACCAUGCGUGGGAUUAUGACUGAACGCCUCUAAGUCAGAAUCCGUGCUAGAUGCGGUGCUCUCUACCUCCUCAGCUGUUACCUGAUUAAGGUUAGGGGGGCCCCGUGCUCCCCCGAGAACACAUGACGCGAGCGCCGUCCCCCGGGGCCGAUGCUGCCCCGGGGGCGCGGCUUGGAAAUCCAAUUUCGAACGGUCGAGGAGAUAAAUCCUUUGCAGACGACUUAAAUAGGGGACGGGGUACUGUAAGUGGCAGAGUAGCCUUGCUGCUACGAUCCGCUGAGGUUCAUCCCUCUGUCCCACCGAUUUGU